CCCGCACAAGCGGAGGAGCAUGUGGUUAAUUCGAUGAUACGCGAGGAACCUUACCUGGGCUCGAACGUAAGAUGACUGUAGGUGAAAGCUUACAUCUCUUCGGAGCAUUUUACGAGGUGCUGCAUGGUUGUCGUCAGCUCGUGCCGUGAGGCGUCGGGUUAAGUCCCAUAACGAGCGCAACCCCUACCUUUAGUUGCCAUCAGGUUAAGCUGGGGACUCUAAAGGAACUGCCUACGCAAGUAGUGAGGAAGGCGGGGAUGACGUCAAAUCAGCACGGCCCUUACGUCCAGGGCUACACACGUGCUACAAUGGCCGAUACAGAGGGCAGCUACCUGGUGACAGGAUGCAAAUCUCCAAAGUCGGUCUCAGUUCGGAUCGGAGUCUGCAACCCGACUCCGUGAAGUUGGAUUCGCUAGUAAUCGCGCAUCAGCCAUGGCGCGGUGAAUACGUUCCCGGGCCUU
RNAcentral lists this ribosomal RNA (461 nucleotides) under uncultured Sphingobacteriales bacterium. RNAcentral describes it as "bacterial SSU rRNA". It matches the Rfam family "Bacterial small subunit ribosomal RNA", at positions 920 to 1382 of the family's 1533-position model. Lineage: Bacteria; Pseudomonadati; Bacteroidota; Sphingobacteriia; Sphingobacteriales. The record is from RNAcentral.